RNAcentral lists this ribosomal RNA (546 nucleotides) under uncultured archaeon. RNAcentral's name for it is "bacterial SSU rRNA". It matches the Rfam family "Archaeal small subunit ribosomal RNA", at positions 1 to 553 of the family's 1478-position model. The record is from RNAcentral.
UUCCGGUUGAUCCUGCCGGACCUGACUGCUAUCGGAUUGAUACUAAGCCAUGCGAGUCAUUGUAGCAAUACAAGGCAUACGGCUCAGUAACGCGUAGUCAACCUAACCUAUGGACGGGAAUAACCUCGGGAAACUGAGAAUAAUGCCCGAUAGAACACUAUACCUGGAAUGGUUUGUGUUCCAAAUGAUUUAUCGCCGUAGGAUGGGACUGCGACCUAUCAGUUUGUUGGUGAGGUAAUGGCCCACCAAGACUAUUACAGGUACGGGCUCUGAGAGGAGUAGCCCGGAGAUGGGUACUGAGACACGGACCCAGGCCCUAUGGGGCGCAGCAGGCGAGAAAACUUUGCAAUGUGCGAAAGCACGACAAGGUUAAUCCGAGUGAUUUGUGCUAAACGAAUCUUUUGUUAGUCCUAGAACCACUAACGAAUAAGGGGUGGGCAAGUUCUGGUGUCAGCCGCCGCGGUAAAACCAGCACCUCAAGUGGUCAGGAUGAUUAUUGGGCCUAAAGCAUCCGUAGCCGGCUCUGUAAGUUUUCGGUUAAAUCUG